UACGUAGGGUGCAAGCGUUAUUCGGAAUCACUGGGCGUAAAGGGCGCGCAGGCGGUUUUGUAAGUCUAAAGUGAAAUCCUUGGGCUUUACCCAAGGGCUGCUUUAGAUAAUGCAAAACUCGAGUUCGGGAAAAGCAAGCGGAAUUCCUGGUGAAGGGGUGAAAUCCGUAGAUAUCAGGAAGAACACCAGUGGCGAAAGCUGCUUGCUAGAACGCAACUGACGCUUAGGCGCGAAAGCGUGGGGAGCAAACAGG
RNAcentral lists this ribosomal RNA (253 nucleotides) under uncultured bacterium. Its description in RNAcentral is "partial 16S ribosomal RNA". It matches the Rfam family "Bacterial small subunit ribosomal RNA", at positions 524 to 776 of the family's 1533-position model. The record is from RNAcentral.